GAAAUGCGAUAAGUAGUGUGAAUUGCAGAAUUCAGUGAAUCAUCGAAUCUUUGAACGCACAUUGCGCCCCUUGGUAUUCCAUGGAGCAUGCCUGUUUGAGUAUCAUGAAAUCUUCAAAGUAAAUCUUUUGUUAACUCAAUUGGUUUCUACUUUGGUAUUGGAGGUCUUUGCAGCUUCACACCUGCUCCUCUUUGUUCAUUAGCUGGAUCUCAGUGUUAUGCUUGGUUCCACUCGGCGUGAUAAGUUAUCUAUCGCUGAGGACACUGUAAAAGGUGGCCAAGGUAAAUGCAGAUGAACCGCUUCUAAUAGUCCAUUGACUUGGACAAUACUUUUAUGAUCUGAUCUCAAAUCAGGUAGGACUACCCGCUGAACUUAAGC
This 378-nucleotide unclassified non-coding RNA is filed under the name plant metagenome. RNAcentral's name for it is "partial contains 5.8S ribosomal RNA, internal transcribed spacer 2, and large subunit ribosomal RNA". The stretch from base 1 to 105 matches the Rfam family "5.8S ribosomal RNA", at positions 50 to 154 of the family's 154-position model. The record is from RNAcentral.